This 492-nucleotide ribosomal RNA is filed under the name uncultured bacterium. Its description in RNAcentral is "partial 16S ribosomal RNA". It matches the Rfam family "Bacterial small subunit ribosomal RNA", at positions 29 to 507 of the family's 1533-position model. The record is from RNAcentral.
AGUGAACGCUGGCGGUAGGCUUAACACAUGCAAGUCGAACGGCAGCACAGUAAGAGCUUGCUCUUACGGGUGGCGAGUGGCGGACGGGUGAGGAAUACAUCGGAAUCUACUUUUUCGUGGGGGAUAACGUAGGGAAACUUACGCUAAUACCGCAUACGACCUACGGGUGAAAGCAGGGGAUCUUCGGACCUUGCGCGAUUGAAUGAGCCGAUGUCGGAUUAGCUAGUUGGCGGGGUAAAGGCCCACCAAGGCGACGAUCCGUAGCUGGUCUGAGAGGAUGUACAGCCACACUGGAACUGAGACACGGUCCAGACUCCUACGGGAGGCAGCAGUGGGGAAUAUUGGACGAUGGGCGCAAGCCUGAUCCAGCCAUACCGCGUGGGUGAAGAAGGCCUUCGGGUUGUAAAGCCCUUUUGUUGGGAAAGAAAAGCAGCAGGUUAAUACCACGCUGUUCUGACGGUACCCAAAGAAUAAGCACCGGCUAACUUCGUG